AAUAGACAUAACUUAUUAAUAUAAAUUUUAUAUGAUUUUACGAAGGAAAAUAUAUUCUUGUUAUUCAAUAACAAUUUCUAUGAGGCGAGAGAAAAAAAUAUCGGGUCUUCUUAUCAUAAAUGUCUUCUUAUCAAGAAUUAGAAUUUUGAAUACUAUAUUAUUAUCAAAAUGGUCAUAUAUAUUGUAUUCUUAUUUAAUACGAUAUUAAAUCAUUAGUAUGAUAUUAAAAUAAAAAUAUAAUAUUUUGCUGAAAAAUUUAAAAUUAUCAAAAUUUACAAAAAUUAAAUUACAUAAAAGUAAGAAUGUAAUUUCUUGCAUAUCUAUAAAACAAUUAAUGAUUGUUAAGUAAAAUAUAUUAAUCUUAAUUUCGUACUAAUAUUUAAUUUUGUUUUAACCGCGCAUAAAAAUAAAACCGCGCAAAGAAAGUUGUUGCGUAAAUCACGAAAUAAAUGUACACAAUUACGUGCUUCCGACAUUAAAAUAAUAUGAUUAUGUGAUAUACCAAAACAUUGUCUCGCCUGUUAUGUGUCGCGCAUUUACAUAUGUCCGCAUUAAUUAGAGAGCCAAAUAUUCUACAGAAAUAAUUGCAGAAUGAUAAACAAGCGUCGAUUAGCGGAAAGUUUUUCCGGUAAAAUACACAGAACGAUAACGUUUUCGAAAACUUUGUGUAAGAAAAAUAAUCCCCACAUCAAAAUGUUUUCUCGCAAAAUCUUUUUGCGCAUGAAGAAGCGUGAGGAUAUCGGAGGAUAAAUCAAGAGAUUGAUGUACUUAUAUACGUGAAAAGAACGGCUUAGUGGCUUUAAAAAGACGUUGUGAUAUGAAAUCCAAUGGCAUAUUUUUUGCUAGUCGUAAACUGCACAUUUGCAUAUGUCCGCAUUAAUUACACAGUUGAAUGCACAUGCGGGAAAUUAUGGGAGAGUAAACCUGUUCCCCAAUUCACGUGGAGGAUUCUUUUUCGAGAAAAAAUUUCAAAAAAAGAGAAAAUUAAAAAAAAAGUCUAUACAGUAAUCCGCGUACUAUAUUAAAUUAAGAAUUUUUAACCGUAAAACUUAAACCGUACGCAGAAGAGAUAUAUUAUAUGUAUAAAUCGAUGAAUACACACGUGCGUGACGCAUUAUUUUUCAUUCUAUUUUUAUGCUCUCAAUUACAUUUUUAUUCGAUCUAUUUCAAAACUGAAAGUUUAGUUCUGUAAAUCAUACACAUAUUCAAUCCAUAACACAAUUUUCCUCUUUUUAAUUAUAUCUCUAUCUCUAAAAGUUUCUGGAAUAUAUUUUUAAUUAUUUCCGUCUCACUAAUAAUCUGUCACUGAAACAGUAUUUAAUUCGCUGGAUAAUAUCCAAGUAACACGGGUAGAACGUCCGGUUGCCCCGACACACCUUGUAUACAGGAAGUAGCUAUGAACGCGACGCAUACACCCAGGUGCAUUAAUUCGCUUGGUGCAAACGCACUGAAUGCACCGCUCCGUAUAGCCCGAUUACGUUUACUGGACUCGUGAGCUCAUUCGAGCUGCAUCUGCAACGAGCGAAUUGCAUUCACUGAGUUGUACACACGUGCUGAUGUCCAUAGACGCGUAAAUCGAUGCAUCAACGCGACGCCGACACGUCUCGCGAAAAUAAAAGCUCUCACUGAGCUCUCGCAGUCAUUACCGUGUUGAGUGUUAUGGAUCUGAGUGCUACCUUACGUGAUGAAUAGGGCUGUCAAGAUACUUUGAGUCGAGUAAAGUUUGCCGCCGCGUUUUCCUCAUCGGGAGAUACGGAGAAUGAGAAAUUAUGAAACAGAAUAAUAGAGUCGUCCGCACACACAUUGUAUAUACAAUACGUCUCUCCUGUCCAUAAUACAUGUAUAUAUGGGGAAUAAAAUCUAAAAUCUAAUAAAUUAUUUUGUUAUCACCCAUACGGCUGCUUUAAAUUGUUCGAAAUCAUUUCGCGAUUAGACACCACAGGUUUUCGUCAUUUAAUAAGUAAUUAUUGUCUCGUUGUUAUUUUACGCGCGUUUGAAAAUCGACAAUGUUGAUCGCUAUGCCGUGAUCGUGAAACCGAAGUAGAAAGAAAUUGUAGCUUUGUGACUAUCGGUGCAACAAUCUUAUCAGCUAUAAGAGGACUUCAAGGGGCGAGAGGAACUAGAUCAUUCUGCGGGUAGUAAGACUUUACUCGGAGAAGCGUACAGCUCGCGCUGAAAACGGCAAAGAAGGCACAAGACUCUCCUCCAGGAUUGGAGAAAUCCAUGGAGCGAAAGAGAAAGAGAGGACCACCUCGCUCUUUCCUUCCCGUCCUCAUCUCGCCCGCGAUUUUCCUCUCACCCGUUGUGUGUCACCUCUCUCCCUUCGGUGCCGCCAUAUCCCUUCGAUUCCUCCCCUCGUGGGAAUAUACAUCUCCGGUGGAUUUUUAUCUCCCGUAGCGGGAAAAGGCGACGGAAAGGUGCAGCCGCAAACGUACCAUUGUGGGCAUCGUAUCUGCCGAAUGUUGACGGCGUACAGUGUGUGACAAGUGAUAUCGAACGAUUCGAUGAAUACAGAAAAAAAAGUAAAAAGGAAAGGCAACUAAAUCCUAUAACACGUAACAGAUAUAUCGUAAACGCAUUCACAUCAAACUGUGAUUAUUUAUCAAACAGGUGACUUUACUAUAAAUAAUAUGACUUAAAAACCGUGAUGAUCUACAUCUAACUAAAGUUUCAGUUGCGAGUUAAGUCUGACAACCAUCGGCACGCAGUUUCAUCGAAUUAAAGAUUGUGUUUUAGAGGGAGAAAAAAUAAUUGGGAAAAUAAAGAAAAAAGAAAGAAGAAAGUAGCGGUAGUAGAAAGUAUAAGGAGAAGGAAAUAAGUAGGAAUUUUAAUAAGUAUAGGUUGAAAAAAGACUGAAGAGAUUAUUUGUACAAUGAAAUAUAUUAUGUUAUGUUUAGCUUAUUAUGAUAUUAGGUUAAUAUGUUGUGAUAGAAAUAUCUAUAAAGAGUCAAGAGACAAUUAAGAAGUAUAGUAAAUAAGUAUAGAUAAGAUUUUUAAGUCGGAAAGAAGACUGUGAGGACAAUGGUGCGAUAUAAGAUAUAUUAUGCUUAGGUUGUUAUAUUAUUAGAUUAAUAUAUUGUAAUGAUAUAAAUAUCUACAGAUAUUCAAGAAGUAAUUAAGAUUACAGAGAGAAUUUGGAAAGGAAAGUUCAGGGAGGCAAGAGAUCAAAACAAAGAUAUUAUAAACUGGAUAGAUAAGAUAGAAAAAUAAAUAGAAGAAUGAAUGUGUUAGAUAUGGUAAACCAAGUCCCCUUUUUGGCUUUGAUGCUAAAGAGAAUAAAGAUUAUUAUUAAAGAUUGUGUUUUGUAACUGACAUGAAAAUAUAAUUAAGCAUCAAGAUCCGUUUCGACCGAAAUAUGGCGGCACUUCUUAUUUGUAUUAACAGUAUAUCAUUCUGAUAAGCAACUUAUUAAUACAUAAAUAAACUAUAAGAAUUGGUUAUAUAUUUAGAAUAUGUUUACAUUCAAAAAAAAAAAUAAAUAAAGAAAGAACCUAAUGGAUUAAUUCGGUUAAUUUGAUGAGAGGCCAUGAUUAAGAGAGGAUACACGGGGUAAUCGAUACAUCGAUCGCACGCGGAUUGCGCGCGAAAAGCAGGAAGCUAUCUGUUUCCGGAAACAGGUAUUUGCACUUAGGCCUCUCUUGCGGUUCUUCCGUCUCUUCGGCCCGGUCGCGUUGUGUAUCGUAAACGUCACGAAAUCCUGAUAGCAAGUGGAAGGAGAAUGCGUGCUCGUCAAAGCAGCACGGGCAAAAGCCGACACGAAAGCGAUACGAAGAUCCAUGGCGUUUAAUAUCGAAUGAAAAGGAGUGCCAUUUGAUACAGUUAAUCCCGCUAACACAGUUCAGUUGCUCCAAAUAUCAGUUACGUUACAUCGUUAGCUAAUUAGACCAAGAGCUUUCUCAGCUCAACAUCAACUUUUUUAAUAACUCGAUAAAAGCUUCAUCGGUUAAUUCUUAAUUAACACUUGUUGAGGAAAUCUGUUAAAUAAAUGCUAACGAUUUAUCUCGCAGUGUAAUUAUGAAAAUUAUCCAAGCGAACGAAAGAUAUUAAAAAUACUUCGAUUUCCGAUAUCAGUUUUCUUUCGAAAGGAACGGAGAACGCCAAGAACAAUGUUGUUUUUUUUUUUACAUUAAAAGUAUAAAAAAGAUUGCGCUCGGCAUUUGCGAUUUAUUCGUGCAGCGAAUCGCUUAUAUCUGUGCUCGAUUGUAUUAUUGUGCAGCACGGCCGUCGCGCGCGCUGCAACUCCGAACGGGCGUCAUGUAUAACGCAACGUUCAAAGUGUCAAAGAGUUAAUGCCGUCGAAGAUCGCCACGGACGUGUUCAGCAAUGAAAUUAGCAUACGAUCGAAUCAGCAGCUCGCUGUCAUCGCGCGUUGACCGAUUGUAAGUGUUGCAGUGUGUAGGGGCGUAUACGCCUUUGGUAUUUAGCGCUGACGUCUGGCGCAUACCGAGGCAAAUGUGAAAACGAUACUUGCGUGACGCUCGGAUUCGCGUCCGCCUAUCAAUACACGACAGCUAUAGAUAUUUGUAUGCAUUAUGGAAUUCCAGUGUCUACGGAGCGGAUAUACGCGCCUAGAUAGAAUGCUGCGAUAAUACCCAUAAGCCUACGGUAAAGAAACACUGUGCUGGCGCGAAGGCAAAUGUCAUUAAAAUUCACCAUCACGCCUCGCAACUUAUUUAUUCAUUCAAAUUAUCUAUCGAUUACUUUGAGCUUAUCGUCUUACGAGACACCGCAUCAAUUAGAAAAAUUUCUAUGCACAUUUUUUUUUUCAAAUAGAGAUAGAGAGACUAAUUAAUUAAUCAAUAAUGAUUAAUAAAUUGCUUUCUUUUUAUCAAUGCAAUUAAAGUUGAUAGAAAAUUGGAUUUUGUUGCAAUUUUUUAAUUUGUUGUCAUUUCAUUUGCACUCAGCAUUGACCUGUUAAAAAAUAUACAACUAAAGUAAAGUAAAAAUAAAGUAUUCUAAAUCACAAUUUGUAAUAUAUGUCUGAUAUUAAUAAUAUAUGUCUGAUGGUAAUAUAUGUCUAUGAUUAAGAUCAUUAAACAAUAUUUGACAAUUAACGUUAAAAAAUUUGAAAAAAGUUAUUAUUAAAAUUAUCUUUCUUAUACACGUAUAACAAAACGUUUAUUUUAAAGAUUGUUAAUGGAUUAAGCAAAUGCAGUUCGACUUUUUGCAUCCCACAGCCUAUCGUAAUUGCGAUAAAAGGUGGUUUAUACCUCUUCCGACUACAACUGCAACGUCCAUUUCCAACGUGCUAAUGGGUACAUUCCAUCAUGGUCGAACAUGGGUCAAAAUUGCACUCGGGAACGUUCAAAUAACUUGAAAUUUGCUGUCGGAAGAGUAAAUCGCUAGUGAAUUCUGUGGCAUUAGGUGGAAUUAUCGGGCUUAGGCUAUUAUUUACUGUAAAUAACAACACAGUAAUACCUGUUUAAGCAAUGGGCGUUAAUCUUUUGGUCAGGGAUAUUAUGGUAUUACUUAACGAAAAUUAUAAUUCCCGUUUCAAAGCAAUCAUUGUUUUAGGAAUUGGUCACCGAAUUUUCUUUAACUUUUUAACUUUCAAAUAAAUAUAUCAAAUAAUAAAUAGAGACUAAUAAAAAUCGUAUGUAAUAAUAAAAUAUUAGAGAAAAUUAAUAACUCUAUUCAAUGUUUAGCGUUUAGAUUAUUGCAAAUAAAGAAAUUUAUAAAAGAUACUGCAAGCUUUAAAUAAAAACUAUAUUCAGGGUCGGUGUGUCUUUAUUUAUUUUAAAAAAAUGAUAGUGUUUACCUGAUAGGCAAGUUUCCCAAGAAGUUAAAACAACCGGCCCUUAGUGUUGCAUUUUAUUACACUCUCACCGAUGACUAUUUACUUUAAUACAACAUGCGUUUCGGUUUACAAAAUCAAAUAAUAAUAUAUUUUGUUAAUUUCUGUUAAUAAAAUUUAAUAUUUGUUUGCUCAUAAAUCCAAGAAAUAAUUUGUUUAAAUUGUUUAUCAAUUUAUAAUAUAAGGCAAGCAAUUGUUUCAUAUUUGUCAAAUAAAGUUGAAAACGGAAUUCCGGCAAACAGGAAGUGAAAUCAUCGCCUUGGGGCCUCAGUACGCUUUUUUCUCAUUUUUCGAGAGAAAUUGUUUUAAUCUUCUUUCCAAAGUUAAAAGUAUAUUUCUAAUUCAAUGCAUCGAAGCUUAACAGAAAAACGAUCAACUUUUUGCAUCAAUCUAAUUUAACGGUAUUAUUGAAAUAGAUUACGUCUGUAAGACGGGCAUAUGAACGCAUACGAACAACGCACGAAACGAGAAAGCAAAUAGAAUUCGAUUCGCGUUCAGUCUGAUUCAUUCAUGAUGGUACGUCAAAGAAAGUUCCGAAUAAAUUUAAUUUCACGUUUGCUAUUCACACUCGUUGCCUGUUCGUUGCCAUUCGUAUGUAUGUGUGCACCAUCUUAAUGUCCGCACACUGCAACACAGCCUUAAUACCCGCACAUUGUAGAGAAUUAGUGUACAUACGUUUGGUCAGCGGUUUAACCCUUUGUGCUCAUUGUUCUCACGAGGUAGAUCAACACGUUCUACACGUGCAGUCAGCACACAUCGAGAUAAUUACUUUUCUUAAUUAAGGAGCAACAUCGAAAUAUAGGCGAUGUUAGCAUUAUUAUUCAGUUCGCGGUUUCUCAUCGACGCAUUGGGUUUACUCGUGUGGAAGAAGGGCUCGAGAAAGAAAGAAAGGAAGAAGAGGGGGGGAAUUCACACGAAUCCGCCUCCGCCAUCAUCACCAUCAAGCAGAGAAGGGGGGAGAGAGAAGGGGAAGAUAGAGCAAAAGACCGAUGACGUGUGUCAUUAAAAACAUAUUUGCUUAUCUUGCUAGAUGCGGUAACGGCCGUUGGCGACCCCACACGAUCAUCGUGAUUCUAACUUUUUUACGACGAUAAUAAAGGUUCCUAUUACAUCUGAUUUGUGAGUUAUAUACUUGCCCUAUAUAAAAACUGUACAACAGAAUCUGUUUCAAGCAAAUGAAAAUUCGAUGCACAGCAAUGUUUUCGGUUAAACAAGCAGAAUUAUGCUGUUAAAGUUAACUCAAUUUUUAUAAUAAAACAAUGAAAUUUCCCCUCUCUCUUUCUCUCUCACGCUUUCUCCAUUUAGAAAAGACAUUAGUAAAUAUUCUUUCUCAGUCCUUUAAGAAAUUACAUGAAAAACCGUACGGUAAUUAAGUAACACGUUGGAAUAUAUCUGCUAAUUCCUACUAAUAAACUCAAUCUAGUUGUGUACCAAAAUUCCCCAGCGGUUAACCUCAGAGCUAUACGCGUCUAAUGCCUAAAGGCAGAGCACUAGUUAUGCCAGGUGCAUCCUUUGACUACGUAACUAUGAAGAUGCCACCGGUAGCGAUGUUCCAAUCUGUAUGCAACAUUUUAGUACUCUCGUGUCGCAGCAGCUAAAUAUGGAACGAGAUAACAUAUUCGCUUCUAUCUCGCUUGAAUACAUUUGAUCGGAACACAACGCGAAAAAUUUAAAAGUGUCGGGGAAAGUUAGGUAACGCUGGGUAACAGAUCUUAUCAAUAAAGUGUGAGGUCGCCGAUACUUCACAGAUACGUGAUCAAAGAAUGUAUCAUAUGCAGCUCUCCGAGAAUUUUUCAUAUCUGAGACAGUACAUACGUUUCGCUUGACACGAAUAGAGUUGUUCUAAAUUCUUUAUUAAAAAAAAAGAGAGACUUUUUAUAAGAUCGGUUUCCGCAUCUUCGCAUCCAAAUUCAAAAAAUGAGUUGCUAACUUGGCGAACAAUUUCCGUAAA
RNAcentral lists this long non-coding RNA (7745 nucleotides) under Monomorium pharaonis (pharaoh ant). RNAcentral describes it as "uncharacterized LOC118645468". Lineage: Eukaryota; Metazoa; Arthropoda; Insecta; Hymenoptera; Formicidae. The record is from RNAcentral.